Molecule: long non-coding RNA, 2094 nt
Filed under: Homo sapiens (human)
Lineage: Eukaryota; Metazoa; Chordata; Mammalia; Primates; Hominidae
Description: HSALNT0386520
Source: RNAcentral
GGAGGAUCCUUUGCUUCAGAUGAUCCUGGAUCAUGGAGCCAUGAAGAUGUUGAUAGUUGGAUAUCAGGAACAGAUGAUGUCAAUCACUAAUGGAUCACAGUUGACCAGGGGAAACUAAAAUCAUGGGAAACAAAACCAUGGAUAAGGCAGUACUACUGUAUACAGUUGGCCCUCCAUAGCCAUGCACUCUGCAUCAGUGGAUUCAAUCAGCCAUGGAUAAAAAAAUGUUUGAAAAGUUUAAAAGAAUGGUUGUUUCUGUACUGAACAGGUUAGGUGUUCAAGCUGUGUUAAAUCACAUCCCUGAUGUUUAUGUGGUCAGGAUAUGUGCCCUUGAGUGACCAAGCAGAAGUGAGUGGAACUUUCUACCAUGCUUUGUAUGCUAAGACUUCCAUCAACGAGUGAUUUUCUUGCUUUAAAUUUAAUGCUGACUCCAUUCAAGCAGAAAAUAGAUUUGAAGACAAUGAAAAAUGUGCCACUUUAUUUCCCUAAGGCCUUCUCUGCACAGUAGGCCUUGAACAAAAGUAAUUUCAUAAGGAGAGACAAACAACUAAGUGAAUCUUCAAAUACAAAAAUUUAUUGUUUUUUUUUGCUAAAUUAUUUUACUAAGUAUUGAUUUUCUGAUUCUUAUUAUCCAUCUUCAGAUCACAAGGCUUAGUGUAGAAUUUGCUUACACUGUGAUAACAAAAUUCAUAAUCAAAUGGGAAGAGGAAAUAAUCCUACCGUGGUGCAUGCCAUUUUUCUAUCCAAGGGAACCUCGUAAGUUGCUGAUAAGAAUAAAUUGCAGUGAAUGAGAAAAUCAUGAAAAGUCAAAAAUUAAAGGAUCCUUAGUGAUAACCUGGCACAGUGAUUAUUUUUUCCCUUCCAAGGGGAGGAACAUUUUAUUUUUUGAAUUGGAACAUUUUUGUUGCUGUUUUUCUACAUGGUCACCAUGUUUUUAGAAUAUCUUCUAAUGUAGUAACAUUGUAUUUAUUGAGAAAUAACGGCUAAUACUGAAUUUGUUCAAUUUCAAAAAUGGGAAAAUGUGCAGAGUGUAUGAUCAUAAACAACAGUGGUAACAAUAGCAAGCAAAACAACUCUCUGGGAAAUCCAAAUAAUUCCUGACCUUCAAGAAAACCUAGCAGGUCUGAGGAGGUGAUUGUCAUAGUUGAUUCCAGUGGGGUCUACGAUAGCAUAUCCCCUCAAACAAAGUUGAAAGAGAAAGGGACAGUUGAUUCCUUUAUGGAGUAAAGACCAUAGAAUAAGAUCAAACUGAGAGGCCAGAUUGUGCCUUCAAGAGCAUGGAGAGAAAUCUGAGAAAUACAUGACAAUGGAUUUGACAAGUGAGCAUAUGGAGGUAGAAGGAAUUAGUAAGUUUAAAAUGGAAGAAAGUUGAGAUUUAGAAAGAUACCUUUACAAAAUUCCUGGAUUGUCCAUUUCUAGUGUCCCUUCACUUGCUGGUGCCUCAUAAGUACAAUAGCUUAAAUGUCUAGAGAGAAGGAGGCCAUGUAGGAGACUUUAAGUUAUAUACAACCUCUAGGUGUCUUUGUUGGGCCCACAAAGUGCUUAUAGCUUCUAUUUGCUGUGUCUCUAGAACAUUUUGCAAGAAGUGGGACUUGUGUUACUGUAUGGUUCCAGUUUUCAAUGCUCAUGUGGUGGCUUCACCCUUUAAAUAGCACAGUAGGUAUGCUUUCCAAUUUGAAGACUCCAAUAUUCUCUGUUGUCUGACAAUCAGUCAACUUAACUUGUUUAAAUAAUUUGUCUGGCCUCUGAUGCAUUUGAAUUUGUCAUCUGAUAGAAACUGCUAUGAUAUUUGAAUUUUAAGGCAAAGUUACCAGGUUUUAAUGAGCACCUAAGAUCUUGCUGAAAUGUAGGUUGAAAUUCCCUAGGUCCAGGAUACUCCUUAAGGCUUGUCCGUCUAACAGGCUCCCAGGUGAUGCCAAUACUGAUGUUACACAGACCAUACUUCAAGGAACAAAGACUUAAAGCAAGUGUCUUCUUCUGGGGCCUGAGAAAAAUGUUUAUGUGAAGGUGAUUUAUUUGGUAAUAUGAUACCAGGGAAUAGGAAUACAGGGCAGUUCAGGUUGCCAUAUCAAACUACCAUAGACUGGAUGGCUU